This 78-nucleotide small RNA is filed under the name Arabidopsis thaliana (thale cress). Its description in RNAcentral is "ATSL228500". Lineage: Eukaryota; Viridiplantae; Streptophyta; Magnoliopsida; Brassicales; Brassicaceae. The record is from RNAcentral.
GACUUCCUCCAAAGAUAGAGACACCAUCACCGUCCGAUAUCGUUCUCCACCCGAAAUGCCGUGGAGAGCUCCGCACCA